This 388-nucleotide ribosomal RNA is filed under the name uncultured bacterium. Its description in RNAcentral is "bacterial SSU rRNA". It matches the Rfam family "Bacterial small subunit ribosomal RNA", at positions 30 to 418 of the family's 1533-position model. The record is from RNAcentral.
AUUGAACGCUGGCGGCAGGCCUAACACAUGCAAGUCGAGCGGUAGAGAGGUGCUUGCACCUCUUGAGAGCGGCGGACGGGUGAGUAAUGCCUAGGAAUCUGCCUGGUGUGGGGGAUAACGUUCGGAAACGGACGCUAAUACCGCAUACGUCCUACGGGAGAAAGCGGGGGAUCUUCGGGACCUCGCGCCAUUAGAUGAGCCUAGGUCGGAUUAGCUAGUUGGUGAGGUAAUGGCUCACCAAGGCGACGAUCCGUAACUGGUCUGAGAGGAUGAUCAGUCACACUGGAACUGAGACACGGUCCAGACUCCUACGGGAGGCAGCAGUGGGGGAAUAUUGGACAAUAGGCGAAGACCUGAUCCAGCCAUGCCGCGUGUGUGAGAAGGUCUU